GAUAAACGCUGGCGGCGUGCCUAAUACAUGCAAGUUGAGCGCGGUACACAGCUUGCUGUGUAUCUAGCGGCGCACGGGUGAGUAACACUGAGCAACCUACCUUUGAGUUCGGGAUAGCCCUGAGAAAUCAGGAUUAAUACCGGAUGUGGUUGCAGAGAGACAUCUCUUUGUAAGUAAAGGCGCAAGCCGCUCAAUGAUGGGCUCGCGGACUUAUUAGCUUGUUGGUGGGUAAUGGCCUACCAAGGCGAUGAUGGGUAGCUGGUCUGAGAGGACGGUCAGCCACACUGGGACUGAGACACGGCCCAGACUCCUACGGGAGGCAG
This 323-nucleotide ribosomal RNA is filed under the name uncultured bacterium. RNAcentral describes it as "bacterial SSU rRNA". It matches the Rfam family "Bacterial small subunit ribosomal RNA", at positions 28 to 351 of the family's 1533-position model. The record is from RNAcentral.